UACGUAGGGUGCAAGCGUUGUCCGGAAUUAUUGGGCGUAAAGAGCUUGUAGGCGGUUUGUCGCGUCUGCUGUGAAAUUUCGGGGCUCAACCCCGAACUUGCAGUGGGUACGGGCAGACUAGAGUGUGGUAGGGGAGACUGGAAUUCCUGGUGUAGCGGUGAAAUGCGCAGAUAUCGGGAGGAACACCAGUGGCGAAGGCGGUUGCCUGGAGCUUUGCUGACGCUGAUGCGCGAAAGCGUGGGGAGCGAUCCGG
This 253-nucleotide ribosomal RNA is filed under the name uncultured bacterium. RNAcentral describes it as "partial 16S ribosomal RNA". It matches the Rfam family "Bacterial small subunit ribosomal RNA", at positions 524 to 776 of the family's 1533-position model. The record is from RNAcentral.